UUGAACUAGCCCCCUAAAAUAAGUGCCAGAGCCCCCCGUCUAGAGCACAGAGAAUGAGGCAGGUGUCCUCAAAGGUCUUCAGAAGAAGAGGAGUCUGCCUGUCCACAUCUGUCUUAUCCACCACUGACGUCGGGCAGAGGUAAUAUCCCUCUGGAGAUCCUCAGAUUAAAAUAUUGCUUGACCUUUGAAGCUUUUCCAAUCCCUUUGCAAGAGUACUUUGGGAUAAUCUCUGUUUGGCAUACGGAGAGCGGGGUGUCUCUGCACAAGUGGCCUGCCUGGAAAGGCUAUUCCUGCCUCUGCUGCUCUAUCUACCUGGAGAUAUUCUUAAACAUCCACAAGUUACCUGUGGGAAGGGGAGAGGAAGGCGCCUGGUUAGAGGAAUGUAAUUACAACUAAGGCAAUAUGUGCACAAGGUACCCGAAAGCCAGACUGCUUCACGAGCUGCUGAUAGGUUUUUAUUUUGUCAGCUAGGAAGACUAGUUUGUCCUCCUUCGAUUUUACGUAGCACCUCAGGUAAUGGAGCCAGGAACCCUGCAGGGACAUCCACAUGAGGUUUGCAAGAAUUCUUCACUUGUGAUGUACAAUUUGUAAAGCAUUCGGGAUUCAGAAUCAAAUCAGCUACCUGUUCUCGAAACGGUUACCAUCUACACCUGUACCUGGACACGUACCUGACCCACUGCACACCCUGGAUGGCGUUCUGCUUAUGAACAGCAAGUCAACACCUUCUCUUCUUGUUGCUCAGAGUUCACCCCUUGAUGCAUAGUGCGGUAUUUAAGCCCUGCUCCGACCACCAAGAUGUUUGUAUGGACCCAUCAUUAUCACAUCGAUUUCUUCGCACAAAGCCCCUUUGUGUCAAGGGAGCGUUUUCCCAUUUCACAGGUGGGAGGAGAAGUGACAAGACAAGACGCUGAGGGACGUUCGCAAAUUCCAAGUCCUCAGGUUGGGACACCCAGAAUUGGAUCUUUGAGUAGUCGGUAUUAAAUAGUACUUUACACACACAGUCCGAAAAAGAACAUCUCCCACUGACCAAAGUUUCAGCUCUUAGCAUGCAGGCUCUGAGUCACAGUUCAGCAAUCCAGAAAAUAAGGAGCAUGUGAGCAGGGGAAUGCUCGACUGAAAAACAUUCGUGUGUUGCAUCUAUGCAGAGGCAGGGCCAGGAUCCAGCUCUCGGAGGAAGCACUGGGGCUGUUCCUGCUUUUCCCUGCUUUGCCCAUUGCACACCAGCCAACGUCUCCCACAAAAUGCA
This is a long non-coding RNA of Harpia harpyja (harpy eagle), 1246 nucleotides long. RefSeq lists it as uncharacterized. The transcript is spliced from 3 exons. NCBI's taxonomy places the organism in Eukaryota, Metazoa, Chordata, Aves, Accipitriformes, Accipitridae. The record is from RefSeq and is a predicted model, not a curated record.